This 285-nucleotide unclassified non-coding RNA is filed under the name plant metagenome. RNAcentral describes it as "partial contains small subunit ribosomal RNA and internal transcribed spacer 1". The stretch from base 1 to 54 matches the Rfam family "Eukaryotic small subunit ribosomal RNA", at positions 1778 to 1831 of the family's 1831-position model. The record is from RNAcentral.
GAAAGUAAAAGUCGUAACAAGGUUUCCGUAGGUGAACCUGCGGAAGGAUCAUUAUUGUAUAACCGAGGUGCGAGGGCUGUCGCUGACCCGAAAGGUCGUGCACGCCCGAGUGCCCUCACACACAUCCAUCUCACCCCUAUGUGCACCACCGCGUGGGUCCCCCUUUGGCUUGUUCGGAGGGGGGCUUACGUUUUCACACAAACUUUGUAUGCAGUGUAGAAUGUAUUUUUUGUUUUUGCGAUCACGCAAUCAAUACAACUUUCAACAACGGAUCCCUUGGCUCUC